Molecule: unclassified non-coding RNA, 336 nt
Filed under: soil metagenome
Description: partial contains 5.8S ribosomal RNA, internal transcribed spacer 2, and large subunit ribosomal RNA
Rfam family: 5.8S ribosomal RNA (bases 1-120)
Source: RNAcentral
GAUGAAGAACGUAGCGAAAUGCGAUAAGUAAUGUGAAUUGCAGAAUUCAGUGAAUCAUCGAAUCUUUGAACGCACAUUGCGCCCGCCAGUAUUCUGGCGGGCAUGCCUGUUCGAGCGUCAUUUCAACCAUCAAGCCCCCGGCUUGUGUUGGGGACCUGCGGCUGCCGCAGGCCCUGAAAACCAGUGGCGGGCUCGCUGUCACACCGAGCGUAGUAGAUUUUCAUCUCGCCCAGGGCGUGCUGCGGGUUCCGGCCGUAAAAAGCCUUAUUUACCCAAGGUUGACCUCGGAUCAGGUAGGAAGACCCGCUGAACUUAAGCAUAUCAAUAAGCGGAGGA